Molecule: ribosomal RNA, 497 nt
Filed under: uncultured bacterium
Lineage: Bacteria
Description: partial 16S ribosomal RNA
Rfam family: Bacterial small subunit ribosomal RNA
Source: RNAcentral
GAUGAACGCUGGCGGCGUGCCUAAUACAUGCAAGUCGAGCGAACGGACGAGAAGCUUUCUUCUCUGAUGUUAGCGGCGGACGGGUGAGUAACACGUGGAUAACCUACCUAUAAGACUGGGAUAACUUCAGGAAACCGGAUCUAAUACCGGAUAAUAUUUUGAACCUCAUGGUUCAAAAGUGAAAGACGUUCUUGCUGUCACUUAUAGAUGGAUCCGAGCUGCAUUAGCUAGUUGGUAAGGUAACGGCUUACCAAGGCAACGAUGCAUAGCCGACCUGAGAGGGUGAUCGGCCACACUGGAACUGAGACACGGUCCAGACUCCUACGGGAGGCAGCAGUAGGGAAUCUUCCGCAAUGGGCGAAAGCCUGACGGAGCAACGCCGCGUGAGUGAUGAAGGUCUUCGGAUCGUAAAGCUCUGUAAGUAGGGAAGAAGAUAUGUGUAAGUAACUGUGCACAUCUUGACGGUACCUACUGAGAAAGCACCGGCUAACUACGUG